AGCGAUCGCUGGCGGCAGGCUUAACACAUGCAAGUCGAGCGGGCAUAGCAAUAUGUCAGCGGCAGACGGGUGAGUAACGCGUGGGAACGUACCUUUUGGUUCGGAACAACACAGGGAAACUCGUGCUAAUACCGGAUAAGCCCUUACGGGGAAAGAUUUAUCGCCGAAAGAUCGGCCCGCGUCUGAUUAGCUAGUUGGUGAGGUAAUGGCUCACCAAGGCGACGAUCAGUAGCUGGUCUGAGAGGAUGAUCAGCCACAUUGGGACGGAGACACGGCCCAAACUCCUACGGGAGGCAGCAGUGGGGAAUAUUGGACAAUGGGCGCAAGCCUGAUCCAGCCAUGCCGCGUGAGUGAUGAAGGCCCUAGGGUUGUAAAGCUCUUUUGUGCGGGAAGAUAAUGACGGUACCGCAAGAAUAAGCCCCGGCUAACUUCGUGCCAGCCGCCGCGGUAA
This 451-nucleotide ribosomal RNA is filed under the name uncultured bacterium. RNAcentral describes it as "partial 16S ribosomal RNA". It matches the Rfam family "Bacterial small subunit ribosomal RNA", at positions 29 to 523 of the family's 1533-position model. The record is from RNAcentral.